Molecule: transfer RNA, 73 nt
Filed under: Streptomyces reniochalinae
Lineage: Bacteria; Bacillati; Actinomycetota; Actinomycetes; Kitasatosporales; Streptomycetaceae
Also listed under: 2 other names
Description: tRNA-Gln
Rfam family: tRNA
About the family: Transfer RNA (tRNA) molecules are approximately 80 nucleotides in length. Their secondary structure includes four short double-helical elements and three loops (D, anti-codon, and T loops).
Source: RNAcentral
UCCCCCGUGGUGUAAUCAGGCAGCACCCUGAGUUUUGGUCUCAGUAGUCAAGGUUCGAAUCCUUGCGGGGGAG